This 278-nucleotide ribosomal RNA is filed under the name uncultured Bacteroides sp. RNAcentral's name for it is "partial 16S ribosomal RNA". It matches the Rfam family "Bacterial small subunit ribosomal RNA", at positions 511 to 788 of the family's 1533-position model. The record is from RNAcentral. Lineage: Bacteria; Pseudomonadati; Bacteroidota; Bacteroidia; Bacteroidales; Bacteroidaceae.
GCAGCCGCGGUAAUACGGAGGAUGCGAGCGUUAUCCGGAUUUAUUGGGUUUAAAGGGAGCGUAGACGGGGGAUUAAGUCAGUUGUGAAAGGCUGCGGCUCAACCGCAGCACUGCAGUUGAUACUGGUUCCCUUGAGUUCGGUUGAGGUGUAUGGAAUUCGUGGUGUAGCGGUGAAAUGCUUAGAUAUCACGAAGAACUCCGAUUGCGAAGGCAGUACACUAAGCCGUCACUGACGUUGAGGCUCGAAAGUGUGGGUAUCAAACAGGAUUAGAUACCCC